UUAUUUGAUAAAAACUAUUGAAAGAUGCUCAUUUACCGUGAAAAAGAGUUUAGCAUACAUUAAUACAAAUGUAGAAUAUGGUAGAAAUUUUAAAACAACACUAAAGAUUAUUGGCUUCAUUAUAUAAAGUAUUUACCAAAAACUCAAUAUUUUUGUAGGGGUUAGCCCCUUGAUUUUGAGAAAAUUUAAAAAAACACAAGAAACUCGCGUAUGUGUAAUGUAAUUUUCGUCAGUGUUAUAAAGUAGCAAAGUAAUAAGACACGAGAAGAGACAACAUUAUGAUAUAGAGAAAAAUAAAGGGAGAGAAUAAUUGAGAAAGAGAGGUCAACAUCAAAUCUUCAAAACCAAAUCUCACAGAGACAAACAGACACGUGUCGUUGUUUGAUUGUCACAAGUAGGCAUAAUCUUAUCUUAGAAUCCACUUGUGUUGUGUCCCUCUCAUUCUCCAACUCUGAUUGUUUUGCCCUCUCACUCUUUCCACUAACCCAACAGGCAACAGCUUGACAAAUCCAUCAUUGCGCAAUAUACAACAAUAUGCAUAUUGCAAUCUAAUAGUUUUUGGCUGAGCCCUUAUCUUUUGAUAGUGAAAUCUCGACAAACUGUGUCGUGUUGGACUAUAGGGUUGAAUUAUCUUAUGCUUGUAGAUUCAUACAUGUUUGGUUUAAUCCAAGAGCUUUGAGUUACGACAGUUCUUGAUAUUUUUUUUUUAACUUGACAGUUCUUGAUAGUUUCUCUUGUUACUUCGUGUUUUCAGUUUCUAACACGAUUAUAAAAGUUUGAUUGAUGUUUAAGAUAAUUAAAUUUUAUUCUUAGAUUGUGAAUGUGUCUCCUUAAUCCAAGAGCAUUUAGAUUGUUGAUUAAACUUAAAGUACAUAUUAUUUAGUUUAAUACUUAAAAUUAAAGAUUAGUCGAUAAGUAGACACUCAUUCAUCUUGCUCGACACAAGACAGGCCCGAUUAAUACCUAGCAAACUUGUAGACGUUAUUGUGCAUGUUUAGACAACAUGACUGAAUGGAAGAAGAUUUUAGUAUUUAAUCAUUGUGGCAACUGGCAAGUGGCAAGUAAUGGACGGUUUCAAAGUUGAUAUAAUAUUAUGUUCAACUUGAUAUUAUUAAUCUAAAAGACUUUGAGGAUCCCUUUUCAUUUUCUUGUCUUUCACUCGUUCCUUCCUAGUUGAUAUAAAUUAGUCAACUAUUCCAAAUCCGUUUAAUUAAUGAUUGAUUCUAACAUUAACUGACAAUUAAGCAUUACAAUGUUGGCCAGACAAUUCUCUUAAUUAUCUUACAUUAAAUUAAAAUAAAACACUUUAAAAUCAUUAUCUUUUACUUGGAUUCCAGCCGAGUCUCCUCCAAAAAAGAAUUAAAAAUGUUAUCGUUCAACUAAAGGUAAAACUCGAGAAUUAACAUCACUAGUUCAAUCUAUUUUUUUCUCUAAAAUAAAAUAAUUCUAUAAUAGAGUUGGUUGUUGCUCAAAUGGUACUAUAUUUUAGAAUGAAAAAUAAAGUGAUGAAUAAAAAAUUAAAAAAUUUACUCUAUAUGUAGAGUAAAAAAUAAGUUUACACUAUUAUGAAAUAGAAAAUAUAGUAUCAUCGAAACAUUUUUGCUCUACAUUUUAUUUUAGAGGGAAAAGUAAAGUGGGGUUGGAGAUAUCCUAAAGGAUACUUGAAACGUUCCAUCCAAAUUAAUUUGAUUCAUUUGUGAUUAUAUAAAAUAAUGUAUUAUCCUUGAAUAUUUAACAACAAUGGCAACAUUUUUUAAAUCCUUUAUUCAAAAAAAAAAAAAAAAAUGGCAAAAACGACACACGCUACGCCACGCCAGUGUGCCAUACCAAUAAAAAAUUGAUACGUAAAGAUUCGCACCAAGCCGGUCUGUAUUUAAAUCUGUAACACCCAUGCUAAACCAGCUCGUACCGGCUAACAUGCAUGCAGUAAAGGUCAUGCUUUAUUCUAAAAAUUAGUACUAUUAUUAUUUUUCUCUAAAAAUUAUUUUAAUUGUUGAAGAACAAGUAUUAUUGCCUUAAGCAGUUUAUUUUUCUCUGAAUUAACGUAAUAUACUUGUUUACAUUUAUAUUUGUCAACACAAAGAGAAAUAAAAAUGCGUGUAUAUAUAUAAUAUUUGCUAAACAAAUAAUACGAUAAAUUAAAAUUAAACAACGUAACUUUUUAAUCAGCUCCUUUUCUUCCCUAGCCUGAAUUAAGAGCAGGUUAAAAAAACUAAAACAAGAGAAAACUAAAGCAGAAAAAUAAUAAAAUCAACAAAAAA
Brassica rapa (field mustard) is the source of this 2261-nucleotide long non-coding RNA. RefSeq lists it as uncharacterized. Lineage: Eukaryota; Viridiplantae; Streptophyta; Magnoliopsida; Brassicales; Brassicaceae. The record is from RefSeq and is a predicted model, not a curated record.